AGAAGUGUGCCCGAGUUCAGGGACUAUCUUGAUGAGAUAGCUACAGAGCAUCAUAACUCUCACUUCCA
RNAcentral lists this transfer RNA (68 nucleotides) under Phrynocephalus guttatus (spotted toadhead agama). RNAcentral describes it as "tRNA-Ile". Lineage: Eukaryota; Metazoa; Chordata; Lepidosauria; Squamata; Agamidae. The record is from RNAcentral.